UGUAUUCCUCAACUGCCAUGAUGGUAAACUAUGGCGUCAUGCUGCUGAUGUGUGUUGUAUCGUUGAUGGCUGGGUCGAGCACUCGUGUACCGAUGUCUUCUUGGUAUGGCGGGUACAAAACUGGCGGGUACAAAACCGCAACAUCGCCGCCUUACUACCCCAAAGCAACGCAACGACCAGUUCCUGCACCGAGGUCUACAAGUACUACACUACUAAGGCACCGGAGUUUUAUACCACAACUUACGAUGACCCGAGCCACUAUACUGACGCCCUGAAGUAUUACUCUGCCCUGAGUUACUACACCACCAAGGCGACGGAGCAGGACUACGCAUGCUGCCCCAUCCUACUACACCGAGGCUCCCAGGUGCUACACCGAGGCUCCCGCUGAUUAGUCCACCAAAACGGUCGAGUACUACACCGAAGCGGUAAAGUACUACUCUGCCCCGAUCUACACAACCAAAACUGAGGCGGCCAAGUAUUACGCAGUCCCGACUUACUG
Daphnia pulicaria is the source of this 499-nucleotide long non-coding RNA. RefSeq lists it as uncharacterized. The record is from RefSeq and is a predicted model, not a curated record. NCBI's taxonomy places the organism in Eukaryota, Metazoa, Arthropoda, Branchiopoda, Diplostraca, Daphniidae. The transcript is spliced from 3 exons.